RNAcentral lists this long non-coding RNA (385 nucleotides) under Gallus gallus (chicken). Its description in RNAcentral is "long non-coding RNA NONGGAT006838". Lineage: Eukaryota; Metazoa; Chordata; Aves; Galliformes; Phasianidae. The record is from RNAcentral.
CGCACCACGUGGGGGGGCGCAAAGAGAAGGCUGAGCCGGCGUUUCCCCGCCAGGAGGCUCUCUCUCCCUGCAAAUGCGUUUCCCGGCGCCGUUUCGAGUUAAAUCAGCCAACACCUCCACCUGCCCAGGCCGAGUUUCGGGCCCACGAGAUAAAACAGCGUGGUGGUAAUGCUUUGGCGUGUGAAAUACUUGACCGGCUUUGGUCUCCUGCCCUGAGGGUGGCUGGGUCUUGGAGUCAGGAAAGCAGCAAAAUAACGGAUGGGAAGGAUGACACAAAGGGUGUGUUACUGACAGCGUUAUUUAGAUGGGGGUGGUGGAUGAGUUCUAAAGAAAUAGAGGAGGAGGAAGUGGUGUUUCUUAUGGAGGACUGCCAGCAAACUGUGCA